This 693-nucleotide long non-coding RNA is filed under the name Helianthus annuus (common sunflower). RNAcentral describes it as "hypothetical non coding rna". Lineage: Eukaryota; Viridiplantae; Streptophyta; Magnoliopsida; Asterales; Asteraceae. The record is from RNAcentral.
AUGAAAUACCUCUGUUCAACUCGAUCCAUAUGUAUUUGAUUUUCAAAAGGGGCUACUAAUCAUAAAACCCUACAUACAUAAGUGGUUUUGACAUCAAGCCUUUUUGUGCAACGAUAACUUGUUCUUAAUGCAAUACAACUUAUAAAUCGACAAAAACCCAUCAAAAUAUUAGGGACCAAAAGCUGACCAAUCAAUCAUAUGGUGCAAGUCAUCAUCAUCACAAAAAACUAACACGCAACUAGAAUACUCAUCCCUUCACUCCAUAGGCGAAGGACCAUCUUCCAACGAGGCAUCAGUUGCGACACUUCCAAACAUGAUCGCAGUCACCAUCAACUUAUCAGCAUCAGGAAAACUUCUAUGCUGCAUCAAGAUACCUUCUACUGACGAAAUCUCCGAACUUUCCUGCCUUAACGGAAGCACCUGUUCAAACCCGCCUUCAUAAGUUUCAGCUUCGGGUCCGUAACACCUGCGUGAAGCUUGAAAAAGAGCAGUUUCUUUAAGAACCUCCAAGAUUUCCUCAUCGGUCAAGCCCUUAGCCACGGUUGUCUGGUUUAUGGCUUCCCAGUCGUCUUGAUUGGCGGCGUUCUUCCAGCAUUCUUCUAGAAGACUUGUGUUGCACCUCAGGAAGGAGAGACUGGUCCAUGCAAACACGUCGAAUGCGUACAAUGCCAGUUGCUUGUUUUGAAUAUUGAG